AGGGUUUGAUCAUGGCUCAGAGCGAACGCUGGCGGCAGGCUUAACACAUGCAAGUCGAACGCCCCGCAAGGGGAGUGGCAGACGGGUGAGUAACGCGUGGGAACAUACCCUUUCCUGCGGAAUAGCUCUGGGAAACUGGAAUUAAUACCGCAUACGCCCUACGGGGGAAAGAUUUAUCGGGGAAGGAUUGGCCCGCGUUGGAUUAGCUAGUUGGUGGGGUAAAGGCCUACCAAGGCGACGAUCCAUAGCUGGUCUGAGAGGAUGAUCAGCCACAUUGGGACUGAGACACGGCCCAAACUCCUACGGGAGGCAGCAGUGGGGAAUAUUGGACAAUGGGCGCAAGCCUGAUCCAGCCAUGCCGCGUGAGUGAUGAAGGCCUUAGGGUUGUAAAGCUCUUUCACCGAUGAAGAUAAUGACGGUAGUCGGAGAAGAAGCCCCGGCUAACUUCGUGCCAGCCGCCGCGGUAAUAC
Molecule: ribosomal RNA, 470 nt
Filed under: uncultured bacterium
Lineage: Bacteria
Description: bacterial SSU rRNA
Rfam family: Bacterial small subunit ribosomal RNA
Source: RNAcentral